RNA transcript from Eleginops maclovinus (Patagonian blennie), 5211 nucleotides. It is a transcript of the gene named SH3 domain containing GRB2 like 2a, endophilin A1, with no coding region annotated. The record is from RefSeq and is a predicted model, not a curated record. Lineage: Eukaryota; Metazoa; Chordata; Actinopteri; Perciformes; Eleginopidae. The transcript is spliced from 11 exons.
CGACAUCCAAUAGCCUGAUCCGGGUUUUACUCAUCCCCCUUUCCUCACAGGAGAUCCCUCUGCUGAAGCACCGCGUAGACAGGGGUUAGCCACGGCUGUAAGAUCAUCACCAGAUACAAGUAGGACCGAGAUUUCCUCCUUUUACGCAUCUGCAGCAUCCAGUUCAUAUUCCCAGCUAGAACCACCGUGUAGCAACCAUGUCUGUAGCGGGGCUGAAGAAGCAAUUCCACAAAGCCACUCAGAAAGUGAGUGAGAAAGUUGGAGGGGCAGAAGGAACGAAGCUCGAUGACGACUUCACUGACAUGGAAAAGAAAAUGGACACCACCGCUCGGGCAGUGCUGGACAUCAUUACUAAGACUACUGAGUAUCUGCAGCCAAACCCAGCCACCAGAGCCAAGAUGAGCAUGAUGAACUCGAUGUCCCGUAUGCGGGGACAAGAGAAGGGUCCAGGCUACACGCAGACCGAAGCCAUCCUGGGAGAGUCCAUGCAGCGGUUUGGCAGGGAGCUCGGAGAGGAGUCCAACUUUGGCAAUGCUCUCAUUGAAGCUGGGGAAGCCAUGCGUGAGCUUGGAGAGGUUAAGGAUGCCCUGGACAUGGAGGUCAAGCAGAACUUCAUCGACCCGAUGCAGAACCUCCACGAAAAAGAUCUCAAGGAGAUUCAGCAUCACCUGAAGAAAAUGGAGGGUCGUCGUCUGGACUUUGACUAUAAGAAGAAGCGCCAGGGCAAAGUGACGGACGACGAACUCAAACAGGCACUCGAGAAGUUCGAUGACUCCAAGGAGAUCGCUGAGCAAAGCAUGUUCAACCUGAUUGAGAGCGAUAUCGAACAGGUGAGCCAGCUGGCUGCUCUGGUGCAUGCUCAGGUGGAGUACCACAGCCGCGCUGCUGAGAUCCUCACACAGCUCUCCAGCAAGAUCGAUGAACGGAUAAGGGAUACUUCUGUCAAACCGAGGAAAGAGUUUGCUCCUAAACCACGGACGUCUCUGGACUUCUCCAUCAGUGAGAACCACAAUGGAGGCAUCCACAAUGCUCGCUCUCCAGGGGCGAGGUCUCCAGCAAUAUCUCCAGGUGAGCCAAAAGUGAAUCCCUGGAGAGAUACAACAAUAUCUCCUCCGUCACUUCGUCAUUUUUUUGUGUCCAUCUCUCAUUGUUACUUAUGGUACAAAUUAACAGCAGAAAAACAAAUGCCGUCCGCUCGCUGCACAAAGAGUGCUCGACCUACAGAAACAAUGAAAAGCUUUACCAGCGGACGAGCAUUUGCUGUUUCUGUUUUGUUCUCUUGUCAGUUGUUCUGAUCCGUCUUACCCUCCUGUUUCUUUGUCAGUCCGCCUUCUCUGCCAAGUCAUCGUCAAACGUGUUUUUCUUCUUGUUUUGUUUAUUGACCUUUUCAUUUCUCCGCCUGUUGUACUUACCCAUCAUUUCAUCACUUACCCUUCAAAACAAAUAAACGUAAAGCUUCUGCACUUUUUUUCACCUAUGCUUUCUUCUUUACCCUUUGCAGCAAGAUCUCCAGGUGAGCAAAGGGGGACUUCGAAAGGGAUGCAAAAUCUCACUCUCCACUCUUUUUGUUAUCCUUCCUUAAAUUGACUUUUGUGGAAGUGUAUUUUUGUCUGCAUUUCUGUUGGCAGCGCAGCUCGUUUGCAAUGCUGUUUCUGUCUAACGCCUGGUUUCUCUUUUGACCCUUUUUUCAAUCAAAUUGUUAAUCUUUCUUUUAUUUUUAAAGGAAUAGCACAGCAUUUUGGGAUGUGUGAAUUGUAUUUUUAAACAUGGUUUGGUACAGAUCAAACAAUCAAAAUGUAACGUGUUAAUUAGUGAGACUUAGAGGUGCUGAAGGAAGUCCCUCCAACGCAUUGUACUUAAGCUUUGUUGAGAACCGUUGAAGUAGCUGUUUGCCACAAGGGGCAAUAGAGUCUAUCGGCACUUAAACACAAGUGAUAUCAAGUGAUAACACUGAAAAUACAGAUGUAGACUCUGUGAGUUCACCCAUAGGUUUCUGAAAAGCCGUAGUGAAGUUGAAAGUGGGCAUCUCCGGCCGUCGCCAUCUUUGUGAUGGUGCCUUUGUGUAACUCCCAGACACAAUCUAAAAUUGGGCAUCAAGUAUGACAUUGAGACAGCGCAGGCAGCAAGUUAUUGGUGACCUGAGGCGGCACCCAGCUGUAAGUCAUAGCUGAAGCGCUGAUUAUAAGGCAUACAUUUAAGACCUAAUGAGAUGAAAAAAUUCCCUAUGUGUAGAUUUCAUAAAGGGAAAAGUUAGUUAUAGAGAUCAAAACUGUUUUCAUACCAUGCUUAAACAUGUUUUAUCUGCUGUAAAGUUGGCCAUUUAACAUGGAGGUCUGUCAGAAAUAGCUCCCAUUAGGAGACAUUUGUGUAACUGCAGUUUUUGGCACUUUCACAUUGGUCCUAGAAAUAGGACGAGGCUGAAGAUUAGUCGACUGGUUGGUUGGCUAUAUGUCUUGUUAAUUGUCAGAUCUCCAUUUAAAAGUGCAAAUCCUUAAAUGCUUAAAGGCAUAUUUCAGAAAAUGUAGAACUAUUCCUUUAAAAAUUGGACGCCUCUUUGAUAUAUUCCGGUCACUGAUAGUCAUGUUCUCCUUUGCUUUGUCUCCUCCUCUUCUUCCUCUUCCCUUUCCCUCUUUCAGCCAGGUCUCCAGCCCCGAUGGACCAGCCCUGCUGUCGUGCACUGUACGAUUUUGACCCAGAGAACCAAGGUGAGCUAGGCUUCAAGGAAGGCGAUAUCAUCACCCUGACCAAUAAGAUCGAUGACAACUGGUACGAGGGGAUGCUGCACGGCAACUCCGGCUUCUUCCCCAUCAACUAUGUGGAUAUCCUGGUGCCGCUGCCCAACUAAGAUUCCACUGCUACCAGCUGUAUCUGUAACGAUGGCGAAACAGAUCCUUGAUCUCCAGUCCUCCCCUCUCUAAGUAUUCCGGGUAACCUUUUCCCCUUAACAUUCCUACCAACAACCUGUACUCCACCUAAAGGAGUCAAAACAGCAACAACACAAAAAACGAACGAAGAUUGGCGAAGUAUUAAAGCAAGUAUGCACCAAUUGAGCGUAAAAACUUGAAGUAAGGAAACAUCUGCGUGUAUGUUGUUGCUUCCCCCCCCCCCCCCCCCGUAUCCCAGGAGGUGCGUUCAGGCUCCCGGAGUCGUUUUAUCCAUUUCUGUCCCGGCUUUUGUCUCGGUUUGAGUUGGCUGUCAGUCCAUCAUGAUUUCCAGAGCAGCGUUACAAAAUCACAAUUUUCUGUCAUUCACUGUACUUUGUGGAAACCUCUUCAGUAGAUAGAUACUUUUCUCUCACAUACUAGAAAAAAAAAAAAAGGGUCCACGUGCUUCAUGUUUGUUAGAGACUUUAGGUCAAGCAUGGUUUCAAGUGUUUAACGUUUUAUCUUACGAACAAAUAUGUUGAACUCAUUUUGUUUUGUUUCUGGUAGUCCUCUUUUUAAUGGUAGUUGUCUCUCGGCAUCCAUAUGAUGUCCUCCAUAUUAACCAUACAGAGUUUUGACAAAGGUUGUAGACUACAUUCAUCUAGCUGAUAACUAACAACCAAGAUUACCUAUUGUAUUUUUAUUUUUGAAAAUAUUAACAUGUGCACGUAAUUGGUUAUAUGUGAUUUAGAUACCAAAGUUACCUGCAAAAAGCCAGAGUCAACGCCAAUGUUAGCUUCAGGAUUCCCAGACAGCGAGAUGUCGGUGAAUCUGUUCGACGCCGCAUGGUGAAGCUUCGCAAUCUCUAGUUCUUUGGUAUUUUUAUCAGGAGAGAAAGCUGUUUUCUUGAGUAUGUGACAUUACCUAUCUGAGCCAGUGAUUAGUGGAGUGAUGACAUGAUUUGCAAAAACACAAGUUGUGAAGUUUAAACAGUUUGAAGUGAUGUAAGAAAACCAUGGUGCAUAAGUUUCAAAUCCUCCAACAUGUAUUUUAUCAGCAGCUUGUGUGAAAAAUGGUCGGUGUAUUGUGAUAUAAUAAUUUAUAGGACUUAACUGCUCGUUGGGGUAACUGUUUCUUCUGCAGCUGAAGACGUAGCUCUUUUUACUGCAUCCCUACUACUCCCGAUAGUAAUCUGUAGAUUAGCAGUUUAUGAGCCAAUGAUUAGGACUAAACUAGACAGGAGUGCACAAAUGUCUGAACGGAAUGAGAAGUCAUUUCUUUUUCUCUUGGUGGAAAUUUUGUAUUAAUUGGUAUGAUGAAACUUACACUAAAAACCUCCUUUCUGCAACUGAAUAACGACUGACAUGUUAGAUCUCUGAAAAACUGCAGGAUUAUAUACAUCGUGUUUCCCCUCACCGGCUUUACGGGUGUAUGCAGUAUUGUGUGGGAUUUUCUCUCCCUUUCUUUAAGAUAAUCUAAAACACUCAGUUAUUACAGUACAUGUUAUAGUCAGCUGAGCAGAUAGGUGCUGUUGUGCACACAUUAUCCCCUGGGAUUUAUUUCCUGCAAUAUCUACAAUGUAUUAACCCUUCUGCAAAAUAAUCUGUGCUGCAGUAAACACUAUUUUCUCACCCAUCUUGUACUAAUGUAGUGCGUGUGCUUCGGGGGAGGGGUUUGGUGAAUGUUAUGCACAGGGACGGGGUUUCAGAGGACCUCUAAAGCUGAGGUGUUUAAGAUAUACUGUUUCUGACAGUGUUCCACACUAAAACAAACAUGGAUGUCUCUUUAAACAUUAUAUUCAGUAGGAUUACAAUAAACGAUGCAAAACCAACUAAAACCCAUAUUAAGUGUUUUGUUUUUUUAAGGGAAGCACAACAGACAGUUUAUUUGUUGGCAGGGGAAGAAUAACAGUUUAAAGGUCAUGUAUUUAUUUAUUUAUUUUGUAAAAGGCGAAACAUUCCUUCCUUCUUUUUCUCUUUCACUUUUUUUUAACAAUCGUGUGUAUCUUUGCCCUCAAUGAGGACUGUACAGCUUUUCUGUGUUUUGUUUUCACCUUGUGUGUAUAGUCGCGCAUCUACAGUAACGUAUCUUAUUUUUGUAACUGUGACAAAAGUAUACACAUACAGUAUAGAUGUAUAUAUACAGUAUAUUAUCCAAAAGCAAUGUGAAAGGAGGGAUUCUCUGUGCUGCACAUGAUUGUCUUCGGAUUGUUUUUGGUUUUCUUUGUUGGUUUUCUGUUUUGUUUUAUUUUAUUCUUGCACUGGAUUCUAAGACUGUAUGCUUGAUGUAAAGAAAACAAUGUGAUAAGUCAAUGUAAUUUAUUCAAAUAAAUACAAAGAAAUGGUUA